RNAcentral lists this ribosomal RNA (497 nucleotides) under uncultured bacterium. RNAcentral describes it as "partial 16S ribosomal RNA". It matches the Rfam family "Bacterial small subunit ribosomal RNA", at positions 28 to 507 of the family's 1533-position model. The record is from RNAcentral.
GAUGAACGCUGGCGGCGUGCCUAAUACAUGCAAGUCGAGCGAACAGACGAGGAGCUUGCCCCUCUGACGUCAGCGGCGGACGGGUGAGUAACACGUGGAUAACCUACCUAUAAGACUGGGAUAACUUCGGGAAACCGGAGCUAAUACCGGAUAAUAUAUUGAACCGCAUGGUUCAAUAGUGAAAGACGGUUUUGCUGUCACUUAUAGAUGGAUCCGCGCCGCAUUAGCUAGUUGGUAAGGUAACGGCUUACCAAGGCAACGAUGCGUAGCCGACCUGAGAGGGUGAUCGGCCACACUGGAACUGAGACACGGUCCAGACUCCUACGGGAGGCAGCAGUAGGGAAUCUUCCGCAAUGGGCGAAAGCUUGACGGAGCAACGCCGCGUGAGUGAUGAAGGUCUUCGGAUCGUAAAACUCUGUUAUUAGGGAAGAACAAAUGUGUAAGUAACUAUGCACGUCUUGACGGUACCUAAUCAGAAAGCCACGGCUAACUACGUG